Molecule: ribosomal RNA, 433 nt
Filed under: uncultured bacterium
Lineage: Bacteria
Description: partial 16S ribosomal RNA
Rfam family: Bacterial small subunit ribosomal RNA
Source: RNAcentral
AACGAACGCUGGCGGCAUGCCUAACACAUGCAAGUCGAACGAGACCUUCGGGUCUAGUGGCGCACGGGUGCGUAACGCGUGGGAACCUGCCCUUAGGUUCGGAAUAACUCCCCGAAAGGGGUGCUAAUACCGGAUAAUGUCUUCGGACCAAAGAUUUAUCGCCUUUGGAUGGGCCCGCGUUGGAUUAGCUAGUUGGUAGGGUAAAAGACUACCAAGGCGACGAUACAUAGCUGGUCUGAGAGGAUGAUCAGCCACACUGGGACUGAGACACGGCCCAGACUCCUACGGGAGGCAGCAGUGGGGAAUAUUGGACAAUGGGCGAAAGCCUGAUCCAGCAAUGCCGCGUGAGUGAUGAAGGCCUUAGGGUUGUAAAGCUCUUUUACCCGGGAUGAUAAUGACAGUACCGGGAGAAUAAGCGCCGGCUAACUCCGUG